Molecule: long non-coding RNA, 10681 nt
Organism: Gasterosteus aculeatus aculeatus (three-spined stickleback)
Lineage: Eukaryota; Metazoa; Chordata; Actinopteri; Perciformes; Gasterosteidae
Source: Ensembl
GAUGUGGGUGGGAAUGUCGGUAAACGGGUGAUGAGCACGCAGCCGUCUCACACUAACCACCGCCUCGAAAUACCAUCCAUCCCAGCCGCGACCGCCGAGGGCAGACAGGAAGUUCUGGCGAACCGCCGAUUUUGUGUUAUUCAAAACCCUCGUUCGUCGACUUCAGCAGACCCCCCCCCCCCUCCAACCCGCCCCUCGGCCAGUACCAGGACGAUGACAGCUUCCUCUCCUGCGCGGCUACGCGUGAGCUGACCCGAGGACUGCGGCCAAACACAUUCCUGCGGAGCCACCGGAGGCUCGGAGGCCGCUCUGCCUCCGUGCUUCCGGUGGUUGGGGCCGCGCUCGUGGUCAGACUGUCACAUGCGACAGGAUGGCAGGAGCGAGGGGGGGGGAUGUGGUAGAGAAAUAUGAUGCCGCCUAACUGUGCAUAUAGAGAGCCCUUGUCUCAGUAACUAUUCGUUGACCUUUGUGUGUGCACAAUUGUCUCCUACAUACAAACGUUCUCUUUUCUCCUGAACUAGAGGCUCGGUUUUAAACACCUGGUUUGCAUUGUAAACUGAAACAAAACAAAAACACAAGGAAACCACCUUCGUCAACAAAUACUUUUCAGGUUAGGUAAUACCAUCAUGGUUUGGCUUAAUAUAAUUACAAAUAUAAUUUAAGUAAUGGGCGCUGAAUCACUUACAAGUUAAAGUAGAUUUGGGGUUUCUUAACAGGAUGCAGCCGCCUCCCCGGGGAGAUUCCUUUUAUCCCCAAACAACCUCGACAUCCUCCCCAAGUGGACUUGGACACAUGUGUUUUAUGUCAAACCAGUUGGACAAGGAUCUUCAGGUGACCCCCCCCCCCGAGCAUCACAGACCUGAUGGCUCCCAUCGUGAUGACCCAGAACGAACUAGAGCCAAAGAGAUGAAGGUAAAGUCCACACAAUAUACUGGUGAUUAGAGUUUGACACUGAGGGCCUGUGCGGGACCGGACCCGAGGCAACAACACCUGCGAGCCUCCAGCUACAUCUCCACUGUAACAAUAUGAACGUAGUCUAUCUCAAUUAUUAUUUACUGGCAACUCUUUUAAAUAAAUAAGAUACUAAAUCUCAUCUCAAUGUUACAUGUUUGGAUGAAAUGGGAGAAUUUCCUCACAAAAGAGCCUUGAGGUGUGCACAAUAUGAUGUGCAUCACAAACACCUCUGCCUGAAACAUCAUUUCCCGUCGACGUCAAACAGCUCAAAAGACCAAGUUAUGUCGGCCGGUUAAGAGUGAUUUUGCACUCUGAAACACUGGCUAACAUCAAGGCGCACAUAGAUACUGAUAAUUGGAAUAACAAAGUGAUUGCAGGCGGCAUUUGAACGCAAAUAUACAGGUAACGAGUUCAAACGGGUGCAGUUAAUACAGGUGAGUGGAGAACAGGAGGACUUCCUAAACUGUGAGAGACGGAAUUCUUACAAAAUCAUACAAUGUGAUUUUCUGGAUUUGUUUUACAUUCCGUCACUCACAGUUGAAGAGAACCUAUGAUAAAACUGACAGACCUCUACAUGCUUUGUAAGUGGAAAAACCUGCAAAAUUGGCAGUAUAUAUAUAUAUAUAUAUAUAUAUAUAUAUAUAUAUAUGUAUAUAUAUGUAUGUAUAUAUAUGUAUGUAUAUAUAUGUAUUGGCUGAUAUUCCUCUCCCAUUGGGAGCCCUCUAGGCGCUUUAGACCUGACCUAUUAACGAUUCAGCCAACCGCCCUGAAGUUUAUGGAUAAAAUAACGCCAUGGAGCAGUAUUCCUGUCACUGGGAUGAUUUCUCUCUCGCUUGUCCUCCUGAAAACAGGUGCCAUCAUCGGCGGAUGGUAGAAGCUUCAGAGGGAAGAGAGACUGAGGGGAGAUAAAGAGAGUGAAGAGGACUUUGAGUAACAGCUCAUUUUUUAUUUGGCAACACUUCAAAUGUAGCCCGUUUACCACGUCUAGACGAGACAGCUUUCAAAGCCCGGGGAAGAGCGCUGUGUUUCCUUUUUCUCUCUUUUUUUGUACUACUAUAAAAGCUAUUUACUGUACCAGCAGAAGACAGACAUCUCUUUUACUUUUCCACAGACGCUCCGCUGCUCCUCUACGUUGCAGAUGAGUUUGUCAGAUGCCUCCGUCCACCUCUCUUUUCUCUCAGCGUAACCCUCCUCCUCGCUCCUGCAGCAGUCCGUUUGAAGCUGGGAGAGAAGUGAGGCAAUCUGACCCCCGUUUGAUGGAUAAUUUGAAAAAGCCAGUGUGCGAGAUCAGGGCCGAGGCGACGUUGGCUUUCUGGUGGCUGGGCUUCAGACGGCAGGUCGCACAAAAGGGACUCGUUCUCUCUCUGUGGCCUUUUAAAUUCGACAGUCGGCGCGCUGAGACCGCUUAUGUACUCCGACUGCCGCCACAAGCUUUCAUGUGGCUCUUUGUGCCGUUUUUCUCAUAUUAAAUGCUGCAGUGCGCUUUCUACUUCAAAUGUUUGUGGUUUUACAUCAGGUGCAUCUUAAGCAUCACUCUGCUUUCCUGCUUGAUAACUGCAAGACGAACACGAUUUCAACAACUCGUUAUUAUUACUUCUUAUUGAUAGGAUGGAGGUAUUUCGAGUGCCAGAAUUCACUUAUUCCAUAACUGAUUGCACUGAGGCAUUUGAUCAGAUUGAACAAAUGUGUGCUGUGUAUUGUAUUAUUAUUUAUGCAGUAUAAAGAGAUAAAUGUCAAAAUAAUAUUAGGAAAAUGGUUGGAUAAAGAUUAAAUAUGAAAAAGUCCCCAAAAUUCACAAUAAAAGGCUGUUAAAAAGUAUAGAGUAGAUACGAUCAAUCUAAACACACUAAAAACAACAAUAUAUUAAAAUACAUUAUUAAUUUUAAAACAGCACAAGAUUCAAGUUAUACUUUCAUAAAUAUAAAAAAGUAAAAUAAAUGCACCCUAAUCUGGUUUCCACAAAUGCAAAAGGUGUAGUUUUAGAAAUAAAAUAAAAUACUGCAUUCGUCAUGCAGCUGUGGUGAAGCAAAUAUCGACCCGUGAAAAUCUCCAUCAUAUUGAUUUUUGUUAGCAAUUUUUAAAUAAAUAUUUUCAUUAUUUUAAAAUGUUUUAUUAAAGAGCAUAAGGGCAACGUUUUUAUUUUAAAGCUGAGAAGAAAAUGUUUGCUAAUUUGAGGUUUUCUCACAAAGGCUGCAGCUUGCGACCAACUCUGACGGUGAAGAUCGGUGAAGUCAAUCUUUAAGAGUCAUGCUGACAUGAAAAAAAAAAGAGCCAGAGCUACAAUGCCUCCAGGCUCAAUUCCAGCUGGUAACUGGCUGGUGGAGUAGAUCUGUGUUUUUGCAAGCCGCAGGGUGUCCUCCUCCUCCUCCUCCUCCUCCUCCUCCUCCUCCUUCGCCUCGCCGGCGGGCUCCUGCGCUCUCUGGUGACUCGGUGCGACUGUGGCUUCUGGGGAGUGUCUGCAAUGGGUGCCAUCUCCCUGCGGUGCUCAGCAGAGGUCUGAUGACGGGAAUCGAGGGGACAUGUUCGUCGUCUCCAACCGGCCAUCGGUCGACAUGGGUGGAGAAGGAGGGGUGGGGGGAUGCUGGGAAGUGGAGGGUGGAGCGGGUGCAUGGGAAUGGCUCGUUCUCGUCCUCCACCGCCCAGCAGAUCUGGCAUAUCACCAACGUUAUGGCGGUAAUUGAUUCUCCCUGUGCCAUUAGUCUCCGAGACAAAGACGCGCCAACGAGAGGGGGUUCUGUCACUUAGAGACUGGCAUGGCGCCCGGCCGCACACUCGUACCAACACACAAAUAGACACACGCAAAGAUGUACUCGACUUACGGCGCGCACACACGCGCGUUCCUCAACGCAUCGUUGGUAUUACGUCGGCUGUCAAGGUCUGCAGAAGCAAAAGCUUUGCUCAAACAUCUCAAACAUUGUUAACGCUGAAAUCUACACACCAAAAAACAAAAAUCCAAAUCAAAGGGAAUACAAAUGAGUGGUGAUUUGGAUUUGAUAUUCCUCUCUGAUACUGUUGUGUUUGUGGGGUUACUGAGGUCGUGGCAGAACAGAAUUCCUCCAAGAGACACACACACACACACACACAGAGUUAACCCACACGCACACUUGAAUAUGAAAAGAGAUGCUCCCCAGACAAAGAGCGCCGCAUGUCUUUAUCUUAUUAAAGUUAACGAGAGGCUGCUGUCUUCUGCCUGCAGACCAGCCCGUUGCCCCCACCCUGCCGCAGCGCCUCCAGGCCCUCUGUCGUCACAACGGUAAUGUUGCCCCCCCCUCUUUCCCCCCCCCCUGGACGUCACAACGGCCAUUGAUGGAAAACAUGACGGUGCCCGCGUCAACGUCCUCGCAGUUGUCACACGAGUGCCAAACGUUGCACGCCGUCGCCAUGGCAAUUGUGUUUUGUCGUCCUCUCUGACGCCGCUGCUCAUCACCAUGGCCACGGCUGCAGCACCUGCGAUACACUGAGGAAAAUAGUGGGAACAAAAGAAGGUAACACCUAGAACACAAAACACACACACACAAUAAGGAGUGCAUCCAUUGAAUGCCAAUUAACCACAUGGAGGAUAAGCGAUCGGAGACAACAGCCCCUAACAGCUAAUUAAAGACACGACAGCAUACAAUCCAGGAUCACUCAGAUCCGCUCGCCCGCUGCAAGAUCAGUGUUCUACUGAAAGUCAAAAGGUGAGCUCUGCCUUUCAGCGUCCGCGCUAGAAGAAGGGCCGUAGACCGGUGGCGGCCCUCCAUCACUCCAGCGAACCGCGCUGCCGUGCCGUAUCUCGCUUUUCGAGGCCCGCUCCGACUUGGAUGCUCAUUUGGAGUCUGUAAUUAAUUGGAGCCCCUAUCUUUUUUUUUCAUCUAUUUUUGUUUGGCUGUUGACCGACGUGUGGUCCUCUCACGCGCUCGUCUUCAGGUCGACGCGGCUCCCUAAUUAAGACUCCAGAGGACGGCUAAUUGCUGCUGCGUGCCUCUCGGCGGAGCAAGGGAGCCUUCUCCCGGCGCUGCCCAGAAAGAGCGCCCGAGUUCAGAGUUAAAAGGGCUUACGUAAGCUUGCGGUGAAACUAUUAAACGCCAACCAACUUUUCCUCGUGAGGAACUGCCACUUGAUUUAAUGGGCCUCAUUAAAAGUGCACAUCACAGAGAUCCGAGCCGCCCGCUCCAGCUUCACACGACAAUGGCAUAAUGGUUCUGCCUCCAUGCUGUCAAAGCCUAAUCCUAAAUACUCAACGGUGCUAUUGCUCCUGCAGGACGAUCCAAAAUGGGCUGCGGCGUUCUGGAAAACGGAGGAUUCACAUCAUUUGUCUUUUUUUUUUGACAAGGGGCAGAGAGGAGGAAGUGAAGGAAUGUGAGCGGCGAACAGCUCGGCGUCGUUUAUCGGAGGAGUCAGAUGGAGGAAUCUAGAGCUGAGCGAGAAUACAUCCGGCAUAGAGCUGAAAUACGGUUUUCAUUGCAGUCCUUGAAACGUUUGAAUGAGCCCCUUCCGACGGGGCGAGAUCACAUACGUGUUUGCGUUGUUUAUCAGGAGACUGGCGUGGUUGAGAUCUGAUUAAAUGUCACAAAGUAAAUCCUCACAUCCAUCAAAAGAUCCACGUGUCCAUUUUAACAAUCUUCUACGAUUGCGCUGUGCGUGUUUCUUAGACAAUAUGACUUUAAGAUACUAUGUAAAAAAAAAAAAACGACGUCAUCUUGUGGUUGUAUCGUCUAUCGUGGUUUUAGGGUUAGGGUUAGGGUUUUGGCCACUGCUUUUAUUAACCACCAACCACCAAACAUUUGACGAACAUGCAGCUACAUAGUGAACAAAAUAAAGCUUUCACCAGUUAGUCAAUUCCGACUCAAGUGGUCUCAUCGCACAGCGGUUUCUACCUAAAGUAUGCAAACUUUAGUCACAUAUUGGAAAGUAAGCAACAAACUCUUGAAUGCACAGGAUUGGGCAAGAGUUUAUUUAUCUCAUGUUUAAUUGAGAAAUAUCCACUUAAAAUCAGUCUUUGAAAGGGACAGCGCUUUUAGGUUUUGGUAGCAUAGCAACCACGUGAUUUGCCCCCUCGGCUUAACCCCCCCAUCAGCCGCUGAGUACAAAACCCUGGCGUCCUGUUUGCUUUGCUCAGAGGCUGUUGACUUUAAUAAUACCAUUUUAAGGGCAACAAAGGUCAGGCGGCUCACCUGGUAUCACAAGUCGGUACGAGCACUACGGAGGUCCUCAGCUCACGUAGGAACAUGGAAGGUCCCCAUGGAGCCGGUGUGGGGAGACACUUACUUAAGAGACACAAUUAAGGGAUGAGUAGAGCAAAGACCACCACCACCACCACCACAAUGGACCCCUCAGCAGAUUUACCCCCGGAACAUCCCUUCCCUUCAAACACAUGACUUGUGCUUCUCAUGGAGGCAAAAAAAAAGCUGUAAGAGAAGAAAGCGACAGAAAAAAAACAACAAAAACAAAAAUCAGGAAGAAGCUGGAAAUGAGUCCAACUCAUGCAUAACUUCAAACACUCCAUCUUCAAAGUUGCAUAACAUUAAAAACCGAGUCCUCCACAUCAAAAACCAGCCGGCAUCGAGGGGACACUGCCGAGCUGUGGCCUCGCUCUGAGGCACCACAUGCACCCAGCCUCCUCUUCAUCUUCAUCCUUUGUCGUCCCUGGCUGUUGUCCUCGGGGUAUUUAUUGUGGGGGAAUAGAGCAUUGUGGGUAAGAGGAGGGGCCAGGUGUUAAUGCACAUAGUGACUUUCCGCCCUGAGAGGAAGCAGACACAACGCAGGGAUCCUCGGGAGUCCUUUUAGAUGUGGACCGUACAGGUGCACCUGGACCGUAUAGGUACACCAGGUGCAUAUGAACCGUACAGGUACACCAGGUGCAUAUGGACCGUACAGGUACACCAGGUGCAUAUGGACCGUACAGGUACAUAUGGGCCGCGGGCCUGUUGGUCAAUAUAAGAUGCAACGAAUAACAUUACCGCUUUUACCAUUGUUGUUAUUCUACUGUAUCCAACGAUGUCAUUCAUACGCAUUGAACGUGCUGUGUGAUCAUUCUAAUGCACGUGUGUCCGUCCUCGGGGAGGGAUCCCUGCCCUGUGGCUCUCCCUGUGGUUUCUUCCUCUCUUUUUUCCCUCGCUGGUAGUUUUUCCUGUGAUGGAAGGAGUCCAAGGACAGAGAAUGUUGCGUGUGACCAGAUUUGUAAAGCCCGUUGAGGAUCAUUUGUGAAUCAGGAUCUUGGGCUAUGCAAAAUAAAUCCAAUUAAAUUAUUUCCAUCAUGUUACAUUUUAGGUCACAUCUAUUUGUGUGUAGAAAUCUAUUAUGUCGAUAAUAAAGAGUAUAGAUCAGUGAAUCCCAACUGUUUGGUCUGAUGUACCCAACAGCCUUGCGAGAUGAAAACCAGUACGUGUUGUAUACAUACAUGCAUAUGCCAUACGUAAGCCUCCGCUGCAUACAUAUAGUAACCCAUCUAUUAUUUAUUCCAGCUGCUUUUGCUCAAUUUUAUUAUUCCUGGUUACAUCAGUUUAAAUUGUUUGUGUUAAAUUUGGACGAUGUACGAAUGUACAUAAGCGUUUAUUAUAGUUAUGUGUUACAUAGUUAUAAGCUCUGUUGUCCUUUCUCAGUGUAUGUCAUUGAAAUGUGUGCAAGUCUACAAAGAGGAACUAAUAUAUAAACACAAAUAUUACCAAUACAGCUUACUCAGCAGGAAUAUUUUGUGAUCAGGUUGUCAUCGAGAAAAGACGAGGGAACUUAAACCAGAAACCGAGCCGUGGUUAAAAAGAAAACACACACACACACACGUCGGUAAUUUUCCGUCUUGGCUUUUCCCCUUCUUUGUCACUUUCAAAUGCUCCUGACAAAUUCUCCAAUACACUGACAAACACAUACAAAAUCCCGCCCACGCGUUUAAACAGAAAAAAAGCUCUCGACGAGCGUACCUUUCCUCCCACAUAUGUUGACAUACGCUCAUGAACAAACUGGUAAUGUUCCAUCAAAGCUUAUAGCGCCCAUUAAAACUCAGAGACAAACAUGGAGGCACGCGCGUGGUUAACGCCCACGCGCUCUUCAGCGGCGUGCCUUUCCGUCACCACAAUUGCCGGUGACAAUCAUGUACCCCCUCAAUUACACCUGGCUAAUUGUUGAGAUGACACAUUACCAUAGAGACUCACAAAGACAGGUCACACACAAUAUAUAUAAAUACAUUCAUUAUUUCAGGGGAAACGUAUAGAACCACAGCUUUAUCUCAUAAUCAGAUAAUGAAUUAUUUAAGCUUCCCUAAGCAGGCUGCGUGAACCGAUGGAGAUAAAGUAGAAGUUAUCUUUUUUUUUUUUCUUUUUUUUUUACCUCAAACAUACACACACAUCUUGUGCACGGUACACAGCACACACUUUGCCUGAAGGAUUUUAAUUUGAGAUGCAGACUCCGGUGUCAUAGUGAAUGAUAUUAAAAGUCGUACCAUGAAUAAAUCAGGAGACAGAGGACUCACCUCAGCAAUGCGACGGAUAAGCAAAGAGAAACCGCACGCCGGAGGAGAGGGAGUGGUAGGGGUGGGGGGGGGGGGAGGGUCCAACGCUGACAGAGGAAAGGGCAAUAAAUAAAGACACUCGCAUUUUUAACAAUACACACUGCGCCGCUGUUCGGCGUAGGCCAUUAGUUUAUGGCACUUCUUAACAAGGCCGUAAUUACUUUACUGCUGGAUCCACGACGUACCUUCAUCCGUCUUCUGAUCGCUCAACAAUGCUGUUUCGCGGCGGUUUCCCCCGCAGGAGUUCGCGUUCACAACGGAGGCCCUCAUUUGUGACAAAUCACUCCGGCGCAAAACACAGAUUGAAAUUGACAAUUCGUCAAUUCGCCGUGUGGUUUGUGACAUGAGAAAGGAAAAAGCACAGCAGUGGCGGGACGUGCAUCCAGAAAUACUGAAGGGCCGAAAAUUCAUUCACUGAAAAAUCUCACUUGUUGGUGAACGACUCCAGAACCACAGCUGGCGGACGGGAGAGCAACGCGUCGGACUUUCAUGCAGGUGCUAUCCAGGUCAAUCAAGCGGAAAAGCAGCUAGCCUAGCAUCGCCGUACCAGGAGAAUAUUUCAGCAAUUUAAUAACGUCUUAAUAAAGACAUGGUGUGUUUUGCCUCGUUGCGUUCUGUAUAAGGCUCAUUUAAAACACGUUUGUCUUUAUGUGCACAUGUAGUGAAAUUCAGUUUUGGUUUCCAAUAUUUAAACUAUAAAGAAUAAAAAACACAAAGGAAAAGCAAUCGGAUCUCUGUUACUUUCACCACAAAUGUCACAUAUUUGUUGAAAGCAUAGUUGUGCAUUUUAAGUUCAUUUGUAUUAUUUCCAAGGGUUUGGUGAUCAGCACCGUGAGCAAGUCUGCAUGUUAAGUACAGAGCUUGGAGGUGAUUAGCCCACCUUAGUGAAGAAAAGCACCGAGUGCAGGGAGAGAAAGCUAAUUAGCUUUGUCCGGAUUUAGUCUCAUUCUCUACACAGAUGUGAGAUGUCGAUCUUUCCAUUUUCAAGCUACCGACACAAAGUAUGAAAUCUUAUUUGCCAAAACUAAUCAUUUAAAGCAGUAGCCAUCCUUCUAUUGGGCAGAAAAAAUAAAUCCCGGUACUUAAACAUUUCUGUUUUGAUUUGUUUGUGUUAUCAUGGUUCAAACUAUUUAUUUUAGUCCACUUUGGGGCAGUGAAAUAAAGUUGUAAAGACACAAUUGCUUUAGCUGCUGUGGCAGACUUAUUAGCAAAAAAAUCCUUUUAGCUCAUCGUCCACCGGCUCUAGAGGAAUAAUAUAUCUGGCCAUUUAGCCUCUAAAUGUGUCGGCCUGCAGAUUACACAUCUAAAGUUUAUAGUGGGUUGGUAGCUUUCCUCUGAAAAAUCAGUAACUGUAGACUUUGGUCUUUCAAAAGGUUUCAAAGCUUAACGAUUGGCUGGAAGAUGCAAAGAAGUCCCAACGUUGUCACUAUGUGUGACAUAUUUCACACACACAUCAUAUUUAGUUUGCUUGACAUAUUGAUUAAUGCAGUUUUCAGCCGUCAACCAGGUUGGCUCUUCCCCGUCCACGGCUGCAUGAACAAAAAGGUCUGUAAACCUAAAAUGUCUUUAUUUUACGUUUCCUCCACAGUCAUUCUUUUGUAUAUAUAUAUUAAAUAAAUUACCCAUUUGUUUCCCAUGAAUAGAUGAUCCUAACACGGCCUCAGGGACUCGCGGCCUCGGGAUGAAUCGAGUCCAAUGAUGCUCUGAACAUCCCCCACCCAUGAGACCCACCCAGAGCCAUUCAUGGGGGUCGGGGGGGACAAAUGAACACAGACAAAAGAGGGGAAAAUCAGCCCGCUUAUAUAUCUGUGGGUGGGAGGCCGCCCGGAUCUUGCAGCUUGGCCGAGAGGAGGGUCCACCACCGCAACCAGAGUCCCGUGUGUGUGUGUGUGUGUGUGUGUGUGUACAUGAAUAUGCAUGUUUGUGUAUGCGUCUGUGCUGCGGUUGCCUCUGAGGGGAGACGGCGGUGCUGUCGGCAGGUUAAUCCAGCCCUCAGGCUAAGCAUCAAAAUUUCAGAUCAGGGAAUCAAUAAUUCAGACAGCAGCUUGUCAGGAUCUAUCACGGAACACAGACUGAGAGGCAGCGAAGGCGCAGAGGUGAUUUACAGCCUCACACAGCCGACACACACGGGUGGAAAAAAAAACGGGAAAAAAUGGUGGACGCAGACUCGCCGCGUAAUUGCGCGCUCAAAUCGCGGCCAGGGAUACAGGCGCGGCACGCUCGGAGGGAAACAUGCGCGUACAC